ACGUCAAUUGCACGCUUUUCCUUUUGCUCUUUAGUCAAUGUUUUUGGCAAUCGAAGCAGAGCUGCAUAUCUCAGUGUUUCUUUCACUGUCAGGAACUUAUUGUAUGGUUGAUCAUUGUAAGUAAUGGAACCGCCAGCAGUAGACCGAAUGAGCCGGCCUCCAAGCAGAUUGAGUAAUGUUGUCUUGCCACUUCCUGAAGGUCCCAUUAAGGCCAGAACUUCGCCUGGGUUUACCGAACCGAAUGAAGAUGAAUUGAGCUAUGUAAAAGUUGUUGAAGAUUCAACUCAAUUGAGAGAAGGCUAUAUUUUAGGCAAAAGAUUCAACUCAAGUGAGAGAAGGCUAUAUUUUCCAAAAGGUAUGCAAAUAGUUUCACUUUUUAACCCUUCUUUAAUUCCCUCUAGAAAGCGAUAUGCUUUGACUAGCUUUUUUUUUUUCCUUUCUUUUAUCUUUCUGGUUCUUAUUUUGUUCUUCAGUUAGGUGGAAAUUGGAUGAGUCUUGUACAUGAAUUGUCAUAUAAAAUGAAACUUUGUACAAGACUGAA
Non-coding RNA from Momordica charantia (bitter melon), 541 nucleotides. The record is from RefSeq and is a predicted model, not a curated record. Lineage: Eukaryota; Viridiplantae; Streptophyta; Magnoliopsida; Cucurbitales; Cucurbitaceae.